This 4596-nucleotide long non-coding RNA is filed under the name Nicotiana tabacum (common tobacco). RNAcentral describes it as "long non-coding RNA (NTAB_LNC005375)". Lineage: Eukaryota; Viridiplantae; Streptophyta; Magnoliopsida; Solanales; Solanaceae. The record is from RNAcentral.
UGCCUUCAAUGUAGGCCCUUUUUCAGACUUAAUGACCCACAAAAAAGCCUAGUUAUUCUAUUUAUAGUGGACUAAAAGUCGGGGUCAAAAUUGGACAAAAAUGCCCUUACAAACAACUUCUGUGACCGCAUAAUGGUCGCAGACCAUGUAUGCGGUCCGCAUAAUCUUCAUUUGCAUCGCAGAGUUGUAGAUCAUCAGUCCCAGAGGUCCACCAUAUAUGAAUUAUGUGAUUCACAUAUCUGUUAUGCGAUCGCAUUUUCCUAUCGCAGAAGUGUUGAACAGUUUCUUCAAUUGCAAUUGUGCGGUCAUUAUGCGGCUCGCAAAAGUUUUAUGCGACUGCAUAAUGGACUGCAUAUUCUUCUCUUCAUUUUUCCAACAACUCUGCUUAAGUUUGAGGUGAUUAUGCAGUCCGCAUUUGACUUCUGCGGUUGCAUACUUGCAACAUUUCUAUCAUUUUGUGACUUUUUGACUUCUUUUUCAUGUUUUUGGGUCUUCAAAUAUCAUGCACUGCAAAACAACAAAACUUGAUAAGAAUUAACUAAAAAAUCCAUUAAAAGACAAGUUAAAAUCUAAGCAAUUGGUAUCAAAAGUGACAAAAUUCUACGGCACAUAAUUGCCAAGGAUUGAGUGGAGAGGUUCUCUAGAUUACGUUCCCAGUAGAGCAAUUUUAUAUUGAAGGCCCAACUGAUGAUUGGGAAGGCCCAACUGAUCCCCUGUUAACUACAUUCCCCUUGUCUGUUUUUGCUAUUGUGAGUUGACGGGAGGAUUUAUUUGGAGUUUCAGAGAGUUUUAGGACACUUAGUCCCUAAAUGAGAGUUUAAGUUUUAGAAUUUGGACUGUAGUCGGAGCAGUAUGAAGACAUACUGGGAAUGGAAUUCCGUUGGUUCCGUUAGCUCCAUUGAGUGAUUUCAGGUUUAUGAGGGUGUUCGAAUGGUGUUUUUGAGGUCCGUAGCUUAUUUAUGAUUGAAAUGCCGAAGAGUUGAAUUUUUGAAGUUUCCGGUUUGAUAGUGAGAUUUUGAUAUCGGGGUCGUAAUGGAAUUCCGGAAGUUGGAGUAGCUCCAUAGUGUUGAAUGUGACGUGCUUGCAAAAUUUCAGGUCAUUCGGACAAGGUUUGAUAGACUUUUUGAUCGAAAGCGUAAUUUGAGAGUUUUUGGAGUUCUUAGGCUUGAAUCCGAUGUUAAAUUGGUGUUUUGAUGUUGUUUUGAGCACUCCUAAGAUUGUAACAAGUUUGAAUGAUAUUUUAGGAUUGGUUGGCAUGUUUGGUUGAGGUACCGGGGGCCUCGGGUGUGUUUCGGAUGCUCAACGGGUCAUUUUUGGAACUUAGAGAAUUGCAGCAGUCAGUUUUGGUUCCUUCUUCGCGUUCGCGAAGAGGAGCUGGGGUUGGUGAAGGUUUAAUGCUUUGCGUUCGCGAGGCUGUGGGGUCUUAUACCUGUCACACCUCCUUUUUUUACACCCGAGGGCAUAUGAGAGUUUUUUCAAUUAAAGUGACAUUAAUCAAAAUGGGAUUAAUUAAUUUAUCAGAGUCGCCACUUGGGAUAGUUUAUUUGGUGUCCCAAGUCACCGAUUUAUUUUAAAAUCCCAAAUCGAGGAAAUUUCGAUUUUUAUUUUUUAAAAGUCUGCGAACCAGAAAUUCUAAGUAAAGAAUUCUGUUAACCCGGGAGAAGGUGUUAGGCAUUUCCGGGUUCCGUGGUUCUAGCACGGUCGCUUAAUGAUUUAUACUUUAAUUUGUCUAAUUACUUAUUUUUAAAACCUAUGUGCAUUUGCCUCUUUUAAUUAAGAAAUUAUAUUUAAAUAGGUCACGCGCACGUGUACCCAUUUGAGUUGGCGCGUCAAAAAACCAUGUCACGCGAACGUGUCCACAAUUAAUAACGCUUUAUUAUCAUUAAGAAAGUUUGGCCGAAGUUGCACGAACGCAUAUCUCAAAUUAUUUUUUAAAAAUCGUAAUUAUGUCACGCGAACGUGCACACAAUCACGAUGAAAGAUUAGGAGCUUGAGUAACGAAAAGAGUUAUUCUAACAAAGUCACAUUAAAGUUAACGUCAAAACAAAUAUUAACCUAUGAUAAAUUCUCUAUGAAAACUUGCAAUCAUCAAUUUAGUAUUUUGUUCAUUUACGACUAACAUACUACAUAUCUCGAAUUAACUUUUAAAACACUUCACUGUCAAUCAAACAAAAUGCCUAUUAUUUCAGAAGUUCAAAAGAAACAGUUCUACGUAAGCAUUCAAAAUCCAUUUAACUAUUUCGAAUUGUAUAGAUUGAUAAUAAAUUUUCUUUAACAAACUAACUUCAACCAUUGUCCUAGUAUUUUUUCACUAAGAUUAAUAUAAUACAAAGUCAAAUAAACAUCUUUUACAAAGAGAUAUUACCUUCUUUUAUGAAGUCAAAUUAACAUCUUAAGCUUCAUGACACUUUAGUAUAAAAAGGACAAGUUUUAUACCGAUGAAUAGUAUUUUAAUUGGAACAGAUAAAGAUUAAAAGGAGCAAUUUUGCAGUCUUAUACAUAGUAAGAGCAGAAAUUUGCUGCACGCCUAAUAAUAGCUUCCAGACUUGAAUAUAACAACAACAACUACCCAGUAAAAUCUCAUAAAGUGGGGUCUCGGGAGGGUAAUGUUUAUGCAGACCUUACCCCUACCCCGAUAGGGCAGAGAGGCUAUUUUGGACAGACCCUCGGCUCAGAAAGAUGACAAUAAAAAUAAAAAAAGAUAAUUCAUUAGUAACUCCAAUAGAAACCGUAAUAGUAACAGAAGCAUAGCAACCAAAAGAUAAAUGACAUGCAAUAAUAGUAACCAACAUCCAAGGCCCGAGGCUAAGAAAAAGAGUAAGGAUAGUGUGAACUCAAUAUAAACUGCAAGCCAUCUAAGAUCAACCCUAAUCCAACCCCGCCUCACCCCGGCUAUGAAGUAAGGAAAGCUCUACUACCCCCUAACCUACAAACCUAAUGGUUGACCUCCAAACCUUCUUAUCAAGGACCAUGUCCUCGGAAAUCAGCAGUCGUACCAUGUCCUGCCUAAUCACAUCUCCCCAAUACUUCUUAGGCCUCUCUUUACCUCUUCUCGUACCCACCACGGCCAAUCACUCACACCUCCUCACCGGAGCAUCAAGGCUUCUCCUCCGCACGUGCCCGAAACAUUUGAGCCUCGCUUCCUGCAUGUUGUCAUCCACAGGUGCCCCACCCACCUUUUUCCGAAUAUCUUCAUUCCUAAUCUUGUCUAUCCUAGUGUGUUCGCACAUCCACCUUAGCAUCCUCAUCUCUGCUACCUUCAUCCUCUGGAUAUGAGAGUUCUUAACCGGCCAACACUCUACCUCAUACAACGUGGCCGAUCUAACCACAUCUCUAUAAAACUUACCUUUUAGUAUCGAUUUCACUUUCUUGUUACACAAGACUCCAGAUGCAAGCCUCCAUUUCCUCCAGCCCGCUCCUAUACGGUGAGUGACUUCCUCAUCGAUUUCUCUGUCCCCCUGAAUCAUUGACCCAAGGUACUUGAAGCUACCUCUCUUGGAUAUGACCUGUGAUCUAAGCAUCAUGCCUCUGCCUAUUUCCCUUGACUCAGCGCUAAAAUUGCACUCCAGGUACUCUAUCUUAGACCUGCUCAAUUUGAAACCCUUAGACUUGAGGGUCUGUCUCCAAACCUCUAACCUUUCGUUAACACUGACCCUCGUCUCAUCAAUUAGGACUAUGUCAUCAGCAAAUAACUUACACCAUGGCACAUCCCCUUGAAUAUGGUGCUCCCAGCCUUGAAUAUCCAACGGUAAUAGCAAAUUCACAUAAUUACUGGCAUAAGCACAAUUUCUUUAAAAAGGGUGACAUAUGACUCCUUUAAAUUAAGUAGUAAGUCUUUAUUAUUUCAAGUCUUCUCCUUUCAGAGAGUUCAAAUACAGAUUAUCAAAGGGGAAAGAAGACAAGGUCAUCCUUUGAAAUUUCAAAAUGCAACAAUCAGCCAUGAAUGUUAUUUCAACAAACAAAUGACCUAACCAGUCAUUGUAGUAUCAUACACAUGAUGCAAUGUCUAAAAAUGAUGUAGAAAACACUGAAAGAAGUAGAUGUAAUAGUUAUAUUCGAAUGACUUACAAAAGUUUGGCUCAGUUGGAAACGAACAGAUCCGGAAACGAACAAAGAACGACGAGCAAAAUCUCAAUUUGAAUCGACAGACUUGAACGACAGAUGACGAACUAACCAGUUUCCAGAGAGGCUCGCCGGCGACAAAGGUGAGACAGAAAAGACGAAGGAGCGAGAGGGAUUUGUAGGGGUGAGGUUGUAUCCCUAGUUUCGUAUUCUUCUUAUCCGUUUUCCGCUAGGUCAUGUCCGUGGUUGCUACUCAAGGAAGAUGAAGAUGUUUCACCCUUUUCAUGGAAAACGACUGUCUCUUUUGUGUGUAGUCUCUAGGGUUAAGUUUGUUGCUUGAAAAUUGGAGAAGAAUAAGAUGGGGUUGUCUCUCGUUUGGGCUCAAGAAGAAGAUCGGGGGGGGGGGGGUUCUCUGUUCUCCUUAGUUCAGUGGUUGUGGCUUCAACUUUUUGUUUGUUGUGUAUCGAGGAAGAAGAAACCACGCUGAGCGGGGGUCUCCCUUCUAAAAAUGGCAGAUUUAGUCUUAGGGAUCUA